This is a long non-coding RNA of Pecten maximus, 663 nucleotides long. RefSeq lists it as uncharacterized. The record is from RefSeq and is a predicted model, not a curated record. NCBI's taxonomy places the organism in Eukaryota, Metazoa, Mollusca, Bivalvia, Pectinida, Pectinidae. The transcript has 3 exons.
CGUGCAUUGUAUGUAGAGGACCAAUAAUAUACGUGCAGAAGUCCAAUACGUUUAAGUUUUCGCGAAUUAGCCAUCCAUAUGAAGAUUAUUUAAGCACUACAGGUGACUCAUUGAAAUACAUUACAAAAAGGUUUAUAUCUUUACACAAAGAUAUUACAGGUAACCUAUUUGUCGGCCAUACGUAACAUUUAGGGCGGCUACAUGUACCUUCUUGGGUAGUUGCAUUCAGCCUAUCAGACAGUUACAGGUAACUUAGAUAUAGGCAACUUAUAUUGAUUGACAGCUAUUUCUAAGUAUUGAGCGACUACAAGAGGCUUAUUUGACAGCAACAUGUAACUUAUUGGACGGCUACAGGUGACUUAUUGGACGGCUACAGGUAAUCUAUUGGACGGCUACAGGUACCUUAUUGGACGGCUAUAGGUGACUUAUUCGACUGUAACCCUGGUAGAUACUAGCCGCAAUAUACCGAUCGGCUAGAGAUAUCUUCUCUUUAGCUCGAUCGGUUGAGCGUAAGAAUAGCAAACCAGAGGUCCCGGGUUCGUCCCUAGAAGAGGCAGUGAUUUAAAUUUAAUUGAUCAUGCGCUCUGUUACACGACGGCUAUAGGGGACUUAUUGGACGUUAACAGUUAACUUAUUGGACGGCUACAGGUGACUUGUUUGACG